Gallus gallus (chicken) is the source of this 1483-nucleotide long non-coding RNA. The record is from Ensembl. NCBI's taxonomy places the organism in Eukaryota, Metazoa, Chordata, Aves, Galliformes, Phasianidae.
CAGCGAUGCCAGCAGCCCCUGGUAUUUUCGGCCCCCCAUCAGCUCCUCGCAGGCUGUGGCACAGGAGGGGCCGAAGGACAGCAGGGCGGCAGCGUUCUGACAGCACUCACCCGGAGUUUGGAAGCGUACUUGUGACUUUCAGAGCCUGACAUCUCCUUGGAGCACUGCUUCAGAGUCAUUCCUGUCACUCAGAGGGAACCCACCGCUGCACCCACUCACACACCCAGCUCCCUCCAGACCGAAUGUGCAGAGUCAUUGCAGGGCACUCGGCUCCCUGGCAAGUGGGACAGUUCCCUGCUGCUCAAUGAACUGACUGUGACCAUAAAUUCUGCCUUUGCACGCUGGGUUGCUAUUUAAAGUCACAGUAUCACUCAUCAGGGAAAUUACUUUCCAAAAUGUGCCCCUCUCUAUAGAGGAGAAAAAGCUGGGGAUGGUGCUGAAGCAUCUGUGUUGCAGACACUGAGCUGCCUUUUCAUGGCAUUGAAGAUCACACCUACCAAGCCUCAAAACAAAUUAGUUUUCAUUGGGUCUGCUACUGUAGAAAUGCAUUGGAAGGAGUAACGUGUCCCAAAAUUUUGUCAUCUAAAUGGAAGUCCAGCCACAGUUCCCAUUGAAAGAAAAAUUAAAAAUAGACUUUAUUGUUACAAGGCUCUUAAAUGAGCUUAAUUUCUGAUCUUAACUGUAGAUAUCAGCAGGAGGAAGUACUGGCUAGCUACAGAUAAAAUACUUAAAGCAGAAAAAGCCAGUAUUCCCAUUUAGAAAAUUCUGUAACACAGUGGAUAUUGGGCACUUGCCAUUUUCAAUACACUUUUCUAUUUUUUAAUGCUGCCAAUCCAUUCUGUGUGGAUCUUGGGGCUCACCCCUUUCCCCGAAGCAGCAGGGCUGGUGCAGUAUUGCUAUGGGGAAGUUUUGUCCUCACAGCACCUCUGUAAGCAUGAGCAGUGGGGCUGCUCCAGCCUAUAGCACGGUGCCAUAUUUUUAGAUCCUCAGCUCACAUUUCAGUGAACAUGAAGUAUCUUUGUGUGUCAACAGACCCAAAAUGUCUCCCAGUGGAGCGUGAAGCAUGUCGACGUAGCAGGGACGUAAUCUGGGCAGUUCGUGGAAGCUUACAUCAUUAAGUCUAUCACUGGAAUGUGUUUGAUAUACAGCAAAUUCAGAUGUUUUUCUUUCCUGGGAACUCUGCCAGCAAGCCAUAGCAUGCGAGGGAGCCAGGAUGGCAAGGAGGGAAGGGCCGGUGCCUGGGCAAGACAUGAAUUAGGGAACUUUCAGUUCAGCUUGUUGAAGGUCUUCAUAGAGAAAUAGGGGCUGAACUUGUGCCUAGCCACUGUCCUUCAUCUGUCAGUGGGGAGCCCAUGGGGCCAAGCCCUGGCUUUGUGGGAAGCCCAAGCACAGGAGCUAUGGAAGAAGACAGAAUGGCAGAGCCCACACACAGACUGUCACGUUUUUGUAUGCUCAGGGAUUGGGAAGCUCCUGGAGGUGCCCU